GAACGCUGGCGGCGUGCUUAACACAUGCAAGUCGAACGGAAAGGCCCUGCUUUUGUGGGGUGCUCGAGUGGCGAACGGGUGAGUAACACGUGAGUAACCUGCCCUUGACUUUGGGAUAACUUCAGGAAACUGGGGCUAAUACCGGAUAGGAGCUCCUGCUGCAUGGUGGGGGUUGGAAAGUUUCGGCGGUUGGGGAUGGACUCGCGGCUUAUCAGCUUGUUGGUGGGGUAGUGGCUUACCAAGGCUUUGACGGGUAGCCGGCCUGAGAGGGUGACCGGCCACAUUGGGACUGAGAUACGGCCCAGACUCCUACGGGAGGCAGCAGUGGGGAAUAUUGCACAAUGGGCGGAAGCCUGAUGCAGCAACGCCGCGUGCGGGAUGACGGCCUUCGGGUUGUAAACCGCUUUCGCCUGUGACGAAGCGUGAGUGACGGUAAUGGGUAAAGAAGCACCGGCUAACUACGUGCCAGCAGCCGCGGUGAUACGUAGGGUGCGAGCGUUGUCCGGAUUUAUUGGGCGUAAAGGGCUCGUAGGUGGUUGAUCGCGUCGGAAGUGUAAUCUUGGGCUUAACCCUGAGCGUGCUUUCGAUACGGGUUGACUUGAGGAAGGUAGGGGAGAAUGGAAUUCCUGGUGGAGCGGUGGAAUGCGCAGAUAUCAGGAGGAACACCAGUGGCGAAGGCGGUUCUCUGGGCCUUUCCUGACGCUGAGGAGCGAAAGCGUGGGGAGCGAACAGGCUUAGAUACCCUGGUAGUCCACGCUGUAAACGGUGGGUACUAGGUGUGGGGUCCAUUCCACGGGUUCCGUGCCGUAGCUAACGCUUUAAGUACCCCGCCUGGGGAGUACGGCCGCAAGGCUAAAACUCAAAGGAAUUGACGGGGCCCCGCACAAGCGGCGGAGCAUGCGGAUUAAUUCGAUGCAACGCGUAGAACCUUACCUGGGUUUGACAUGGAUCGGGAGUGCUCAGAGAUGGGUGUGCCUCUUUUGGGGUCGGUUCACAGGUGGUGCAUGGCUGUCGUCAGCUCGUGUCGUGAGAUGUUGGGUUAAGUCCCGCAACGAGCGCAACCCUUGUUCACUGUUGCCAGCACGUUAUGGUGGGGACUCAGUGGAGACCGCCGGGGUCAACUCGGAGGAAGGUGGGGAUGACGUCAAGUCAUCAUGCCCCUUAUGUCCAGGGCUUCACGCAUGCUACAAUGGCUGGUACAGAGAGUGGCGAGCCUGUGAGGGUGAGCGAAUCUCGGAAAGCCGGUCUCAGUUCGGAUUGGGGUCUGCAACUCGACCUCAUGAAGUCGGAGUCGCUAGUAAUCGCAGAUCAGCAACGCUGCGGUGAAUACGUUCCCGGGGCUUGUACACACCGCCCGUCAAGUCAUGAAAGUUGGUAACACCCGAAGCCGGUGGCCUAACCGUUGUGGGGGAGCCGUCGAAGGUGGGACUGGUGAUUAGGAC
This 1442-nucleotide ribosomal RNA is filed under the name uncultured organism. RNAcentral describes it as "partial small subunit ribosomal RNA". It matches the Rfam family "Bacterial small subunit ribosomal RNA". The record is from RNAcentral.